This 467-nucleotide ribosomal RNA is filed under the name uncultured bacterium. RNAcentral's name for it is "partial 16S ribosomal RNA". It matches the Rfam family "Bacterial small subunit ribosomal RNA", at positions 28 to 507 of the family's 1533-position model. The record is from RNAcentral.
GACGAACGCUGGCGGCGUGCUUAAUACAUGCAAGUCGAACGGAAAGGCCCUGCUUUUGUGGGGUGCUCGAGUGGCGAACGGGUGAGUAACACGUGAGUAACCUGCCCUUGACUUGGGGAUAACUUCUGGAAACUGGGGCUAAUACCGGAUAGCAGCUGCUGCUGCAUGGUGGGGGUUGGAAAGUUUCGGCGGCUGGGGAUGGACUCGCGGCUUGUCAGCGUGUUGGUGGGGUAGUGGCUUGCGAAGGCUUUGACGGGUAGCCGGCCUGGGAGGGUGACCGGCCACGUUGGCUACGUGAUGCGGCCAGAGUCCUACGGGGGCCAGCAGUGGGGGCUAUUGCACGAUGGGCGGAAGCCUUAUGCAGCAUCGCCGGGUGGGGGAUGACGGCCUUCGGGUUGUAACCCGUUUUCGCCUGGGACGAAGCGUGAGUGACGGUAAUGGGUAAAGAAGCACCGGCUAACUACGUG